GGCGAGUGAAGCGGUAAGAGCUCAAAUUUGAAAUCUCCAAGGUUUUUUACUUUGGCGAAUUGUAGUUUAAAGAACCAUUUUCUUGGAUAAACUGAGUAUAAGUCCUUUGGAACGAGGCAUCGUAGAGGGUGAUAAUCCCGUUUAUGAUUCAGUUUUAAUUCAUUUGUGAUAUGGUUUCUAAGAGUCGGGUUGUUUGGGAAUGCAGCCCUAAAGGGAGGUAAAUACCUUCUAAAGCUAAAUAUUGACGAGAGACCGAUAGCGAACAAGUACCGUGAGGGAAAGAUGAAAAGAACUUUGAAAAGAGAGUUAAAUAGUACGUGAAAUUGUCAAUAGUGAACGGUUUGGAACUAUUGUUGUGAAUUUCUAAUCAAUUACUUAUAAAGUAGUGCACUUAGAUUUUUUACAGGUCAACAUCAGUUUAAUUUGAAGUAAAAAGCUUAAAGGUUUUAUUCUCUUUUGGGUAAAACUCUUUUUGCUAUGCUUUGGAAUAGACUGAGGAAUGUAGUAUGGAUGGUGAACUUGUUGCCUUUUGAAGAUGCCUGGUAAACAAUUUAUUGAUUAUCAGGUAAUUCCUAUUAAGCCCAGCUUGUAAGCCCCUGUACUCUGGAUGUUGACGAAAUGGUUUUAAGCCACCCGUCUUGAAACACGGACCAAGGAGUCUAACAUAUCCGCGAGUAUUUGGGUGUCAAACCCACAUGCGUAAUGAAAGUGAAUAAGAUGGGAUCCAAUUUAUUUUGGUGCACCAUCGACCGGUCUGGAUUUUUUUGAUAGAUCUGAGUUAGAGCGUACAUGUUAGGACCCGAAAGAUGGUGAACUAAGCCUGAAUAGGGUGAAGUCAGAGGAAA
RNAcentral lists this ribosomal RNA (845 nucleotides) under Arkaya lepida. Its description in RNAcentral is "eukaryotic LSU rRNA". It matches the Rfam family "Eukaryotic large subunit ribosomal RNA", at positions 88 to 861 of the family's 3401-position model. Lineage: Eukaryota; Fungi; Chytridiomycota; Chytridiomycetes; Polychytriales. The record is from RNAcentral.